GACGAACGCUGGCGGCGUGCUUAACACAUGCAAGUCGAACGGAAAGGCCCUGCUUUUGUGGGGUGCUCGAGUGGCGAACGGGUGAGUAACACGUGAGUAACCUGCCCUUGACUUUGGGAUAACUUCAGGAAACUGGGGCUAAUACCGGAUAGGAGCUCCUGCUGCAUGGUGGGGGUUGGAAAGUUUCGGCGGUUGGGGAUGGACUCGCGGCUUAUCAGCUUGUUGGUGGGGUAGUGGCUUACCAAGGCUUUGACGGGUAGCCGGCCUGAGAGGGUGAACGGCCACAUUGGGCCUAAGAUACGGCCCAGACUGCUACGGGAGGCAGCAGUGGGGAAUAUUGCACAAUGGGCGGAAGCCUGAUGCAGCAACGCCGCGUGCGUGAUGACGGCCUUCGGGUUGUAAACCGCUUUCGCAUGUGACGAAGCGUGAGUGACGGUAAUGGGUAAAGAAGCACCGGCUAACUACGUG
Molecule: ribosomal RNA, 468 nt
Filed under: uncultured bacterium
Lineage: Bacteria
Description: partial 16S ribosomal RNA
Rfam family: Bacterial small subunit ribosomal RNA
Source: RNAcentral